GGAGGUAUAGCUCAAGUUGUAGCACAUGCUUUGCAUGCAUGAGGUCCUGGGUUCAAUCCUUGGUACCUCCU
This 71-nucleotide transfer RNA is filed under the name Camelus bactrianus (Bactrian camel). It matches the Rfam family "tRNA". Rfam says of the family: Transfer RNA (tRNA) molecules are approximately 80 nucleotides in length. Their secondary structure includes four short double-helical elements and three loops (D, anti-codon, and T loops). RNAcentral also lists the same sequence under 2 other names. Lineage: Eukaryota; Metazoa; Chordata; Mammalia; Artiodactyla; Camelidae. The record is from Rfam by way of RNAcentral.